GACAGAGGGUGCAAACGUUGUUCGGAAUUACUGGGCGUAAAGCGUGUGUAGGCGGCCUUGCAAGUCGGAUGUGAAAGCCCCGGGCUCAACCCGGGAAGUGCCCCCGAUACUGCUAGGCUCAAGUACCGGAGAGGUUGGUGGAAUUCUCGGUGUAGAGGUGAAAUUCGUAGAUAUCGAGAGGAACACCGGUGGCGAAGGCGGCCUUCUGGACGGUGACUGACGCUGAGGCGCGAAAGCGUGGGGAGCAAACGGG
Molecule: ribosomal RNA, 253 nt
Filed under: uncultured bacterium
Lineage: Bacteria
Description: partial 16S ribosomal RNA
Rfam family: Bacterial small subunit ribosomal RNA
Source: RNAcentral